Molecule: long non-coding RNA, 375 nt
Organism: Corapipo altera (White-ruffed manakin)
Lineage: Eukaryota; Metazoa; Chordata; Aves; Passeriformes; Pipridae
Exons: 3
Source: RefSeq, a predicted model, not a curated record
UCGCGUUCCUUCCUCUCCUCCUGCUCUCUGCUGUUUUCCCUCGGAUCCGUCACCUCUCUCUGUCUCUCCGGACUCUUCCGAUCCUCUCCCGCCCCAGCUGUUUCACUGAGCAGCACGUGGCGACCGGCGCGCAGCAGAGGAACACCCAGACCAACAAGAAGAGGGCGAUCCCCAACCAGGGGGAGAUCCUGGUAAGUACCGUGGAGCGGGAUUAGUGCCGGAAGCAGCAUUCCCGACAUUCCCGACAUUCCCGCUUCCCAGGAUGGAGCACGCUGCCGGGAGCAGGGGGGUGGCAUUCCCAGGGGCAUUCCCAGAGGGAUCCGGGAGGUGGGAAUUGGCUCCGUCCCCUCCGUGCCCGCUCCUGGCUCUUCCCAA